Molecule: transfer RNA, 110 nt
Organism: Trichophyton rubrum CBS 118892
Lineage: Eukaryota; Fungi; Ascomycota; Eurotiomycetes; Onygenales; Arthrodermataceae
Rfam family: tRNA
About the family: Transfer RNA (tRNA) molecules are approximately 80 nucleotides in length. Their secondary structure includes four short double-helical elements and three loops (D, anti-codon, and T loops).
Source: Rfam
GGCACUGUGGUAGAGUGGUUAAUACGUUGCACUGCUACCGCUAUACAGUUCUCUGCAUACAUAGCCAUGCAAUUCCUUCGGGAGCCAGGGUUCGAAUCCCUGCGGUGUCG